Molecule: ribosomal RNA, 291 nt
Filed under: Triticum aestivum (bread wheat)
Lineage: Eukaryota; Viridiplantae; Streptophyta; Magnoliopsida; Poales; Poaceae
Description: partial small subunit ribosomal RNA
Source: RNAcentral
AUGGCGUCGCACAAGUGUGGCGGCCAGAUGGAGCGGAUUCAUUGCUCCUGCGUGCACCGGGCGCUCCGCGGCCUCAUGUUCAGCAGCAGCAACAAGGCCAGCAACGGCUGGAGGGAGGUGCAGGGCAACUUCAUCCCCUUCUGCUGUUGCCCAAUGUCGAGGACGGUCCAGGAGCCGCCGCUCGUCCUGGCGGUGGACGACAGCCUCGUCGACUGCGUGGUCAUCUCCUGGAUCCUCCGCAGCUCCAAAUACAGAGGUGGACACAUUGCUGGAGCCGUGUGGCACUCCUAA